CCUACGGGAGGCAGCAGUGGGGAAUAUUGCGCAAUGGGCGAAAGCCUGACGCAGCGACGCCGCGUGAGGGAUGAAGGUCUUCGGAUCGUAAACCUCUGUCAGCAGGGAAGAACGGUCACUGUGCUAAUCAGCAGUGAAUUGACGGUACCUGCAAAGGAAGCACCGGCUAACGACGUGCCAGCAGCCGCGGUAAUACGGAGGGUGCGAGCAUUAAUCGGAAUUACUGGGCGUAAAGCGCUCGUAGGCGGGAUGUCAAGUCAGGGGUGAAAUCCCCGCGCUCAACGUGGGAACUGCCUUUGAAACUGGGCAACUUGAGGGCGUGAGAGGAUAGUGGAAUUCCAGGUGUAGGAGUGAAAUCCGUAGAUAUCUGGAGGAACAUCAGUGGCGAAGGCGACUAUCUGGCCCAUAACUGACGCUGAGGAGCGAAAGCGUGGGUAGCAAACAGGAUUAGAUACCCCGGUAGUC
RNAcentral lists this ribosomal RNA (465 nucleotides) under uncultured bacterium. RNAcentral describes it as "partial 16S ribosomal RNA". It matches the Rfam family "Bacterial small subunit ribosomal RNA", at positions 338 to 795 of the family's 1533-position model. The record is from RNAcentral.